UACGGAGGAUGCAAGCGUUAUCCGGAAUGAUUGGGUGUAAAGCGUCCGCAGGUGGCAAUGUAAGUCUGCUGUUAAAGAGUCUAGCUCAACUAGAUACAAGCAGUGGAAACUACAUAGCUAGAGUACGUUCGGGGCAGAGGGAAUUCCUGGUGUAGCGGUGAAAUGCGUAGAGAUCAGGAAGAACACCGGUGGCGAAGGCGCUCUGCUAGGCCGUAACUGACACUGAGGGACGAAAGCUAGGGGAGCGAAUGGG
Molecule: ribosomal RNA, 253 nt
Filed under: uncultured bacterium
Lineage: Bacteria
Description: partial 16S ribosomal RNA
Rfam family: Bacterial small subunit ribosomal RNA
Source: RNAcentral